RNAcentral lists this long non-coding RNA (1697 nucleotides) under Olea europaea subsp. europaea. Lineage: Eukaryota; Viridiplantae; Streptophyta; Magnoliopsida; Lamiales; Oleaceae. The record is from RNAcentral.
GGACGCUUCAAAGUUAGUAUUUUCUAAGUUUUCCUUGUACGUAAAAUUCCGACAGACUGUUUCGCGUAUAUGGAUUGAUUUGAUGAUAUAAUUAAUAAUAUAUAGUUGAAUUAAAUUAGGACUCCAAUUCUUUUGGUGUGGCCACAAGAAUACAUAUCAGUGCAAGCAGUCUCCUUGACAGAAAUUUGAGAAUAUUCAGUUUCUUUCUACCCCGUAAUUAUCUAUAAUCUUCUAUUCAGUUUUCUUGCGCCCCGUCCCUUCAUAAGAUUAAGAAUACUUCAACCCUCCAAUGGCCUCAAAUUAAUUCAUUAGUUGUUGAUUUAAGGCUUCAAAAUUCUUGAUUCUAUUGUGAAUUUGAGAUUGAUUGCCGUCCAGGUAUUGUUUGCCUUCCCAACCUUACUUCAGUUUCUAGGGAUUUAUUUUUCCCCAAAAUUUUCAUCUUUUGUUUCUAUUCCUUGUUAGUUUAAUAUGUUGAUUCGAUUUAUCUAUUAAAAUUGGGUAUUUAGCUUAUUUUGGUAAUACCUUAGCUGUUGUAUGUACUUGGACUUUCUUCUCAAUUUUUCGUAUUAUUUUGCCUCGUUUCUUACUUAUUAAGCCCCCGUUUGGCCCCUUUUUUGAAAUGAAAAAGGGUGGAAUAUUGUUUUUUAUUUUUAAAUGAGUGGUUGAAAAAAAAUAAAAAGUUUUUGAUUUACAUGGAAUCUUAUUUUAUGGAAUAUUUUGUGGAUGAAAAUGGUAGAGAGAAAAAUGAAACGAAAUUUAAUCGGACCAAACGGGGGCUAAGAUCCCCUUUCGCUCUGCUUUGUAUACAACGCUCAUUCUGUUAUUUUGCUAAGUGUUUCCUUCCUUUGUGAUUGAGUUAUAUGUGUGUAACUUCACUUCUGAUUUAACAUUUCUAGAACAAUAUGUUGGGUGGCUUCCUUCAUUACCUAUUUUUUGAUCUUUUGAGUCUACCCUUUAUCUAUUUGUGGUAAUUUAUAAUCUGAAUUAGUUUCAUUGAUGUAUUCAGAACACAAAGAUGGCAUCUUGUAUGGAUCAAAGCUAUUUUGUAAUAUUGGUGUAUUUGCUUAGUGAAUUUAUAGGAUUAGGAAAAACUUAUUGUCAAGUCUUGCUGUAAAAGGUAACUUAGAAAAACACUGAAUUUUAUCUCAUAUCCUUUCUUGAAUUAAAUUGACGAAAACCCUCAUGGGCUGCAAUGACCAAUGCAGUCAUUUUUUGGUCGCUCUCUUUGUGGGAUGGUUUAACGAUGCUCACUUUAGAUCUUACGUGGAUUAUGUACAGUUUGUUUCGACGGAAAAUGAUUCUGCAUUGAAAUUUAUGUGUAGAAUGAGACUACAUUUGAUAAGCACACUUCUCUAUUUAAGCCACGCAUUCUUAUUCCUUGGAGCUAAUUCUCUCUUCAAUGACUUCCAUCUUUGAUCAACUGGAUUCUGCAUGGGUUUUCUGAGAGCACAGUUUGAUUAAGUUUUGAAGCAUUGUGUUUGUCUUAUUUUUGGUUACUUCACUUUACUGCAUUUGAGUCUUCAUUAUGUUCUUCCCAGAGUUGAAGGAACUGUUUGCCGGAGUGCUAGUUUUAGUGUGUCUAUUUAGCUCUUGCAUAUAUUAGCUUUUGAUGAGAUUCCUUCUACUUGUGGUUUCUGUUUGAUGGUUAAAGGCAGAUAUUGUUAAUUGAGUUCACUAUAGCAGUUUUUCUUCUGAGG